CCUUAUCUGACAAUUGCGCCAUUUUAACCAUUGUUUUAGGUUUCUUAAAGAAGCAAUUUUUAUGUCGCCAUUUUAAUCGCAAUCUUUUGUUACAGUUUUAACUCGAUUUAAUCGCGACAAAUUAAGUUUAUUUAAUCAACUUUAUAGUGCCAAUGAUGGACCAAACUAUAUUUUAUCAAAUGCUUCAAUCUCUAAAUUAUUAAUUGUCCUGGUAACAAUUUUUAACAAGCCUUUCAAUUAAGGUCAAGGAACAACAAUUGAAGUAAAGAAUCACAUUACUAACUUUCUGUUGAAAACAAACUCUCCCUUUCUCUUUUUCGGUGUAAUCAACAUGAUUAUCAUGCUGAAGAACCAAAACUUACCCGUAAGCUUUCCUGGAAUUCCAUUGUUGAUCAAAUAUUAUGUUGAUGGCAACACUAAAGACAAAUUGAAAGGACGAGGAAAACGGAAAGGUUAAAAAUAUGCAGCUUUAAUGUCGUAAAUUAUUGAAUUGCUUGUUAUUUCAGCGUUGAAAAGGAAAGAUUGGUCUUGCAAUGAUUCACCUGUUAUUUGACUUGUUGCUUAUUGUCAUUAUUGUCGGCACUGUUAUUCGUAUUUCUGAUUGAAAAGACCGUUAUUGAGACGAGACUGGAGUUAAUACGAAGUGACUUUCAACUUUGAUCAUUAACGUCGUAUUCUUGGUAAUUGACACUAAAGACUGUGAUUUUAUUUUCCACCAAUAAUGCAAGGUUACACUGCUUGGUUAAUGACCAACUAUUCACCAAUCAGAUGGAAUUUUCCGGCACAAAUUGAUUUGAUUUAUUUGUUCGGGCAUUUGAUGGCUGAUUUGCUGAAAAAUUGAGUCAUGACAAUGAAAACCAAGCUUAAGACAACUGACUUUGGAUUUUUGUCAAACUGAUCGCCUUCAUAUGCAUCGUCAAGUUAUCCUGCCUCUCCGUUCUGGUCUAUCAGCUGAUUUCAGUAAAAGUUUUCAUUUUUUGAAACAUUAUUGUUGUAUUGAUGAAAUUGUUUCCAUCAAUAUAGCAAGUUAUCACCGAUAAAUGUUGGAUUUCUUAAGAGCGCAACGGUCGAUGUUGAACAAACUUUCACCUACAAUUAGAAAUGACAAGCACAAAUGUGUGGAUGACAGGUUUAAUAUUUGUUUUUCAAUACAACGACUUGCCGCUCAAAAACAAUGAGAUCACCAGCAGUAAUCCGUCAACUUUUACUUUCAAAGUGCUGCAAGCAAAAGCCAAAGAUAAAUAUUGCAGUAAACAUGAAACAUUGAAAUAUCCGGAUAUAACGGGACGAUGUUGGUUAAUCCACCGGAACGAGAGAUUUUUCAAUGAAAUGUUAAAGAUGAUAAUGAUAGUGAUGGCGACGAUGUAAAGAGAAGCAAUUGCAAUGAUGCAAAACUUGCCGAACAAGAUGCUUGACAUAAAUUUAUCAACAUUUCACAAGCAAUCAGACUCUAAAGGUUAUCCUGUGAACUUUUAAUAUUACCCGUUGAAUCAAUCUAUUACCCAGUUUUCAGGGGGAAGAAAGGUUUACCUGGUCCAGGAUCCACAAAAGCACCAACAAACCACAACUAUUAUGGUUAAUGAUAACAAUGAUGGUUAUAAUAAAGGCUGGCUCUUAAUUGAGGAAAUAAUUUUGCUAAAGAUCAACAAGGCAUUUAGAGUGAAAAUCAUUGGAAAAAAGCUAUUCAACUUUAUUAAAUAUCAAUGAAACACUUGAUUUGAUAGUAAAGGAGAGAAAAAAAGUGACACCAGGAUAACUCAUUGAGAGAGGUGAAUUUAAAUUCAACGGAGAACAGUUAAUUGUUGAUGAACUCGGGUAACAAAUAAGAUGAAACAGUUACAUCGUUUACCAAGACAAUUUAUCAUGAGUGACUUCCGAAGGCAUUGGCUUCUUAACGUUUACAUCUCAUAACUUCAUGGACUGAUGGCUUUAAGUAAGGUUAAAACUGUUAAUGAAAUUAACUGGAAUCAUGAUGAAAAUUGGAAAUGUAUCUUGUCAAUUCAUCAAAAGAACAGAGAAAAUCAAAGGAAAUGAAAUGUUAAAUUGUGGUUAAAUGGUAUUCAUAAUGAUCCAAGAAUAAUCUCAAUAUUGUACUUUUAUUUUAUGGCCUAACUUAACCAUCCUAACACGAUUGGAUUUCAUUCAAAAGCCAAUGUCAAUGAUUUCUGGAUUGGCAUCUUCAUACUUCCAUGUUAUGCUUGGUUGGAUUGAUCAUCUUUUGUGAAAUGAUCUUCGUUUGAUCAUUUUCAAUUGAUUUGGCCUGAAAAAGAAGAGAAAAGUUUAAAAUGGUAAACUGAAAGAGCUAAAAUAGGAACCAUUUGCAAAUCGGAAAAGGGCCACUUAUUUAGCCCGAUUCCGAUUAAAUUGUUUCCAAAUUGUUCUUCAAUUGUUUGAUCAUUUUUCUCAUCCAUUUGUUUCCGUACAACCAUUCACAUCCAAAUAAACAUUGAGACGACACAAUUAUACCUGUUGAUGAUUAUCAUUGCUGAUCCUGUUAAUCAUUCACCACUAAACCUUUAAAUUUGGCAACAAAAUGAUUUACCUGUUAACUUACUUCCAUCAUGAUCUAGGCUAAACAAAAUGACCCUCUAAACCUGUGAUAUUAGGCAAACCAAUUGAAGCAAAAAGCGCUGUUUUCCUCUUAAUACCAACAAAUGUCACUGAAAGAGUCACAAAUUAAAUUACAAAUCAUAUUGAAAAUGCAGCUCAACGGGAUAACACAAAAUUGUUUGUUAUUAAUUUAAAAAAAGAUUCCAAAGUUUCCUCAAUUAAUCACUUACUGUUAACCUUUAUUGUUGUGCUUAAACACAAUCAGCAUUUGCAAAUGAAAAUCCUGUUGACAAUCACCAGUAAAAUACAAUUAAAUCAAGUAACUAUGUUAA
Molecule: non-coding RNA, 2882 nt
Organism: Tetranychus urticae (two-spotted spider mite)
Lineage: Eukaryota; Metazoa; Arthropoda; Arachnida; Trombidiformes; Tetranychidae
Source: RefSeq, a predicted model, not a curated record